RNAcentral lists this ribosomal RNA (670 nucleotides) under uncultured fungus. Its description in RNAcentral is "eukaryotic LSU rRNA". It matches the Rfam family "Eukaryotic large subunit ribosomal RNA", at positions 24 to 664 of the family's 3401-position model. Lineage: Eukaryota; Fungi. The record is from RNAcentral.
CCCGCUGAACUUAAGCAUAUCAAUAAGCGGAGGAAAAGAAACUAACCAGGAUUCCCUUAGUAACUGCGAGUGAAGAGGGAAAAGCUCAAAUUUGUAAUCUGGCAGUGUAUGCUGUCCGAGUUGUAAAUUCAAGAAGUGUUAUCCAAUGCUGGACCAUGCACAAGUCUCUUGGAAAAGAGCAUCAUAGAGGGUGACAAUCCCGUCUCUGGCAUGGACUCCCAGCACUCCCUGUGUUACACUUUCAAUGAGUCGAGUUGUUUGGGAAUGCAGCUCUAAAUGGGUGGUAAAUUCCAUCUAAAGCUAAAUAUUGGCGAGAGACCGAUAGCGAACAAGUACCGUGAGGGAAAGAUGAAAAGAACUUUGAAAAGAGAGUUAAACAGUACGUGAAAUCGUUGAAAGGGAAACACUUGAAGUCAGUCAUGUUCAUCAGAAAUCAACCUGACCCUUGCGGUCUUGUGCACUUUCUGUUGGGCAGGCCAGCAUCAAUUUUGACCACUGCAAAAAGGCUUAGGAAAUGUAGCAUCCUUCUGGAUGUGUUAUAGUCCUGAGUUGGAUACAGUGGUUGGGAUUGAGGAACUCAGUGUGACCUUCAGGUUUGGAGAGUUUGCUCUCGCAACACACACUUAGGAUGCUGGCAUAAUGGCUUUAAUUGACCCGUCUUGAAACACGG